Molecule: ribosomal RNA, 465 nt
Filed under: uncultured bacterium
Lineage: Bacteria
Description: bacterial SSU rRNA
Rfam family: Bacterial small subunit ribosomal RNA
Source: RNAcentral
CCAGACUCCUACGGGAGGCAGCAGUGAGGAAUAUUGGUCAAUGGGCGAGAGCCUGAACCAGCCAAGUCGCGUGAGGGAUGACUGCCCUAUGGGUUGUAAACCUCUUUUGUAUGGGGGGAAUAAGCUUUACGAGUAGAGUGAUGACAGUACCAUACGAAUAAGCAUCGGCUAACUCCGUGCCAGCAGCCGCGGUAAUACGGAGGAUGCGAGCGUUAUCCGGAUUUAUUGGGUGUAAAGGGCGUGUAGGCGGGACUGCAAGUCAGAUGUGAAAUCCAAGGGCUCAACCCUUGAACUGCAUUUGAAACUGUCGUUCUUGAGUACUGGAGAGGUUGACGGAAUUCCUAGUGUAGCGGUGAAAUGCGUAGAUAUUAGGAGGAACACCAGUGGCGAAGGCGGUCAACUGGACAGCAACUGACGCUGAGGCGCGAAAGCGUGGGGAGCAAACAGGAUUAGAUACCCUGGUAA